Molecule: ribosomal RNA, 273 nt
Filed under: uncultured bacterium
Lineage: Bacteria
Description: partial 16S ribosomal RNA
Rfam family: Bacterial small subunit ribosomal RNA
Source: RNAcentral
GACGAACCGAGCGAACGUUGUUCGGAAUCACUGGGCUUAAAGGGCGCGUAGGCGGGCUGCCAAGUCUGGGGUGAAAUCCCGCGGCUCAACCGUGGAACUGCCUCAGAUACUGGCGGCCUCGAGGGAGAUAGGGGCGAGCGGAACUAAUGGUGGAGCGGUGAAAUGCGUUGAUAUCAUUAGGAACUCCGGUGGCGAAGGCGGCUCGCUGGAUCUUUUCUGACGCUGAGGCGCGAAAGCUAGGGGAGCAAACGGGAUUAGAAACCCCAGUAGUCC